Molecule: non-coding RNA, 851 nt
Organism: Triticum urartu
Lineage: Eukaryota; Viridiplantae; Streptophyta; Magnoliopsida; Poales; Poaceae
Source: RefSeq, a predicted model, not a curated record
GAAUUCUUUCCACCGGUGUUUUUGUUAGAUCUCACGACACUGCAUCUGUUGUUGACAGAACGCACCACUUGUGGCUGCUAUAUUUUCUCCCUCAUACAUGGCAUCAAUGGUGUGUCUGCCUGAUCCUGCAACAAGUGUUCACUCUUUGAUGAGUCUUCUAAUCUGCAAUUUAUGCCUGGUCCAUCUUCAUGCUGCACAUGGUACUUUGACAUGGGCAUCAGCCUGAUAGGAAUCCACUCCAAUUUUAUUCAAGCUUGCUAGGUUGCCAGACGAUGGGUGCCAAAAUUUCUUAUAUCUCAUAAAUUUGGAAGUCUUGAGAAGGGUGGUUGAUACAUGUCUUCACACUUUUCAGAGCAACGUGCAGUGGAAGAAGCAGCCUAUGAACUGAAAUAGUUUGCAUAAGAAACAGGCGAUGCGAUGCACAAAAUCAUUGGAGUGAACAUAUGAGAAUUUGACCAUUCAUUUUCAGGUACUCAACCAUCUACUGCGCAUGGAUGUGAUACUUCGGAGUGUUCGGCAGCAUUUGGCUGUUUGCAGUAUUUUGGACCAGCCAACUUGCGAUCAUGAAUCUUAUGUCUGUUCUGGACUAUUUGGUGCUUCAAGUGAUUUGGAGCAUAUAUCUUGUGCUCAUGGGUGUGACUUUGUUCUGGACCAUUUAGUGCUUGAACUCCUUUAGAACAACAGAUAGUGGUCCUUUUAUGUGGCUUGUGUUUUCUAGAUGGUGGUCCAAAUGGCCAAACUUUGCUUUGUCAAGAUUGUCCUAUUUUUGAACUUAUGAUCAAUAUAUGUAUGUUUGUGAACAUAUUAUCAAUGCUUGUGCAAUAUGUGUUCAUCUUGAUCCUGUUUGUGUA